AUAUUGCACCCUACCUAUUUAGUAUUUGUUCAAUACCAUUUAUCAUAAGAAUAGAGUCGAUAGGAGAAAGUACAUUUCGAAUAUUUCAUAAAGGUCCUAAAUAUUUUUUAAAAGUAGAAUUCCAUACAAGAAAUUGAUGAGAGUACCGAAGGUUUCAGUUAUCCUGCCUCUCACUUUGUUACGUGUUUUACUUUUUAUAAACACACACUUUUUACAGGGAAUACUUUAUUAUCGCAACCUACCUAUUAAGUAUUUGUUUAAUACCAUUUAUCAUAAGAGCAGAGUCGAUAGGAGAAAGUACAUUUCGAAUAUUUCAUAAAGGUCCUAAAUAUUUUUUAAAAGUAGAAUUCCAUACAAGAAAUUGAUGAGAGUACCGAAGGUUUCAGUUAUCCUGCCUUUCACUUUGUUAC
Drosophila biarmipes is the source of this 410-nucleotide long non-coding RNA. RefSeq lists it as uncharacterized. Lineage: Eukaryota; Metazoa; Arthropoda; Insecta; Diptera; Drosophilidae. The record is from RefSeq and is a predicted model, not a curated record. The transcript is spliced from 4 exons.